CUUGCGUUGAGCGACCGUGGUAUCGACGCACCUGGCCGGUGCGAGAUAGGUGAACUCUUCGAUGGGCCAGGUCUCGACCGGCACGUCAGG
This 90-nucleotide transfer RNA is filed under the name Pseudomonas putida. Its description in RNAcentral is "tRNA-Ala". The record is from RNAcentral. Lineage: Bacteria; Pseudomonadati; Pseudomonadota; Gammaproteobacteria; Pseudomonadales; Pseudomonadaceae.